Molecule: ribosomal RNA, 465 nt
Filed under: Vreelandella stevensii
Lineage: Bacteria; Pseudomonadati; Pseudomonadota; Gammaproteobacteria; Oceanospirillales; Halomonadaceae
Description: partial 16S ribosomal RNA
Rfam family: Bacterial small subunit ribosomal RNA
Source: RNAcentral
CCUACGGGGGGCAGCAGUGGGGAAUAUUGGACAAUGGGCGAAAGCCUGAUCCAGCCAUGCCGCGUGUGUGAAGAAGGCCUUCGGGUUGUAAAGCACUUUCAGUGGGGAAGAAAGCCUUGGGGCUAAUACCCUCGAGGAAGGACAUCACCCACAGAAGAAGCACCGGCUAACUCCGUGCCAGCAGCCGCGGUAAUACGGAGGGUGCGAGCGUUAAUCGGAAUUACUGGGCGUAAAGCGCGCGUAGGCGGUCUGGUAAGCCGGUUGUGAAAGCCCCGGGCUCAACCUGGGAACGGCAUCCGGAACUGUCAGGCUAGAGUGCAGGAGAGGAAGGUAGAAUUCCCGGUGUAGCGGUGAAAUGCGUAGAGAUCGGGAGGAAUACCAGUGGCGAAGGCGGCCUUCUGGACUGACACUGACGCUGAGGUGCGAAAGCGUGGGUAGCAAACAGGAUUAGAUACCCCAGUAGUC